This 497-nucleotide ribosomal RNA is filed under the name uncultured bacterium. RNAcentral describes it as "partial 16S ribosomal RNA". It matches the Rfam family "Bacterial small subunit ribosomal RNA", at positions 28 to 507 of the family's 1533-position model. The record is from RNAcentral.
GACGAACGCUGGCGGCGUGCCUAAUACAUGCAAGUCGAGCGAUGAAGCUUGGUGCUUGCACCAAUUUGAAGAGCAGCGAACGGGUGAGUAACGCGUGGGGAAUCUGCCUUUGAGCGUGGGACAACAUUUGGAAACGAAUGCUAAUACCGCAUAACAACUUUAAACAUAUGGUUUAAUUUUGAAAGAUGCAAUUGCAUCACUCAAGGAUGAUCCCGCGUUGUAUUAGCUAGUUGGUGAGGUAAAGGCCCACCAAGGCGAAGAUACAUAGCCGGACUGAGAGGGUGAGUGGGCAACAUGGGAAUGGGGAAACGCCCAAACCUCCAAGGGAAGCAGCAAGAGGGGAACCUCCGGCAUGGGGGAAAGUCUGACCGAGCAACGGCGGGGGGGGGAAGGAGGGUCUCGGAUUGUAAAACUCUGUUGGUAGGGAAGAACGAUAGUGAGAGUGGAAUGUUCAUGAAGUGACGGUAACUAAUCAGAAAGCGACGGCUAACUACGUG